AAGGGAGCGUAGGCGGCUGAUUAAGUCAGCGGUGAAAGGUAGCAGCUUAACUGUUUUACAUGCCGUUGAUACUGGUUAGCUUGAGUUGACAGAGGGCAGAUAGAAUUCCUGGUGUAGCGGUGAAAUGCUUAGAUACCAGGAGGAAUACCGAUUGCGAAGGCAGUCUGCUGCAGUCACACUGACGCUGAGGCUCGAAGGUGCGGGGAUCAAACAGGAUUAGAUACCCCAGU
RNAcentral lists this ribosomal RNA (230 nucleotides) under uncultured bacterium. RNAcentral describes it as "partial 16S ribosomal RNA". It matches the Rfam family "Bacterial small subunit ribosomal RNA", at positions 563 to 791 of the family's 1533-position model. The record is from RNAcentral.